Molecule: long non-coding RNA, 238 nt
Filed under: Panax ginseng (ginseng)
Lineage: Eukaryota; Viridiplantae; Streptophyta; Magnoliopsida; Apiales; Araliaceae
Description: long non-coding RNA (PGIN_LNC011187)
Source: RNAcentral
AGGUAAAAUUCACACCAACAGGAUGUUCCAACAGAAUAAUAAAGACGGAACCAGGUCCGGCGUAAAGCACACAGACAGGAUAUUCCAACAGAAUAAUAAAAAAUGGAAUACAAAAGAAUUUCACCAAGUAUAGGGUAGCCCGCGUAUACAGGUUAUUCCAACAGAAUAAUAAAGAUGGAAUAAUAGAAGUUCUCUUCAUGAAUACAAAAGAAAUAAUACCCCGUACCGUAAAAGAAAC